AACAACUAUUGCUAUUUUUUCGCUUUCUGGUGUCCGUCUCCUCUAUUGCACCUCGUCGUGGGAUCGGGACUCCACGGGCGGGCAGUGAUGGCACAACCGGUGGGCCGGCCGAUGGUGGCAGAUGCCGCGGCGAGACGGGCGGAAUGCGCAGCGGCAGCAGCAGCCGGGGUUCGGGCAGACGGUGGCGGGGAUCUUGCUGAUGGCGCUGCUCUCGUACUUCGCCAUGAAGUUCUUUGGCCCCAAGAGGCCCGCGGAGCCGUUCCAGCUCAUCUCCAAUCUCUUCCACAAGGGCGACUCGUUGUUGAAGAAUGAUAAUCGUGUUGAAGCCAAGGAUGAGGGCCCUGUAGAUUGGGUUUCAUAUUGGAAACCAAAUAUCACAAUAAACUUUGUUGAUAAUUUUACAAGCUUUAGUUCUGAACUCCUGGAGUUUGGGACAUCAGUAUGUGAUUUGCACCAGUAAUGAGGUGUGGCAAGCUUGAUUCUGGAUGAAAAGGUUUCAUCUCUCUGCAGUGGGAGGAAAAAGAUACGACAUGCUUACAGCAGUAUGCCAUUGCUUUUGAUGAGAAAGCGCUGCACCAGUUCAGGUGAGAGUGGAAGAUCAAGUCACUGCAAUCUUUGCAGGCUGAAAUAUAACCAUCCCUGCUACUGCAGAUGCCAUCACUGCAAGUCCAACCUCUGGUGGCUGGGAGCUACUUCUUUAUGAUAUGAACUUGAUCUGCUGCAGGGCACAGUAUUCCACUGCUGGAUAAAAAUUGCUCUCUGAGUUUCACAUUUCUAUAAACUUGCCUCAGUUAUUUAGCAUUGGAGCUUUAGCUUCUAUCUUCACUUGUGGCAGUGACCAACAUAUCAGGAUAAAUGGAUCCAAGUGACUGACUUGUGGUG
RNA transcript from Musa acuminata AAA Group (dessert banana), 882 nucleotides. RefSeq lists it as uncharacterized. The transcript has 4 exons. The record is from RefSeq and is a predicted model, not a curated record. NCBI's taxonomy places the organism in Eukaryota, Viridiplantae, Streptophyta, Magnoliopsida, Zingiberales, Musaceae.